Molecule: long non-coding RNA, 282 nt
Organism: Pezoporus flaviventris
Lineage: Eukaryota; Metazoa; Chordata; Aves; Psittaciformes; Psittacidae
Exons: 2
Source: RefSeq, a predicted model, not a curated record
GUUAUGGUGUCAGUGGGGAAAUCUUCUCACAGUGUCAAAGCAGGUUUACUGCUGUUUUCACUCUGAGGCAGACCCUUUGCUGAAAGUUGUGAUGAAAGCUGCCUUUGGGAGUGAGGGAAAGAAUCUAGUCUGGUAGAAGAAAACCCAAUUUCUCUAUAUCAGACAGUGAAUGUUCUUCUGACAACGUGAGAGUGAAAAAGCAAAACAGAGUUAAUAUCAGCACGUUUCAAGGUACUUAGUAAAAUAGAAUCCAGACCAAGCUUCAGGCCUAGAUUCCUAAUG